CAGGCUUAACACAUGCAAGUCGAGGGGUAUGCCGAUUUAUCGGCAGAGACCGGCGCACGGGUGCGUAACGCGUAUGCAAUCUACCUUUCACAGAGGGAUAGCCCAGAGAAAUUUGGAUUAAUACCUCAUAGUAUAGCAAUUUCGCAUGAAACCACUAUUAAAGUUCCAACGGUGAAAGAUGAGCAUGCGUCCCAUUAGCUAGAUGGUAAGGUAACGGCUUACCAUGGCUACGAUGGGUAGGGGUCCUGAGAGGGAGAUCCCCCACACUGGUACUGAGACACGGACCAGACUCCUACGGGAGGCAGCAGUGAGGAAUAUUGGUCAAUGGACGCAAGUCUGAACCAGCCAUGCCGCGUGCAGGAUGACGGUCCUAUGGAUUGUAAACUGCUUUUAUACAGGAAGAAACACUCCGACGUGUCGGAGCUUGACGGUACUGUAAGAAUAAGGAUCGGCUAACUCCGUG
This 463-nucleotide ribosomal RNA is filed under the name uncultured bacterium. RNAcentral describes it as "bacterial SSU rRNA". It matches the Rfam family "Bacterial small subunit ribosomal RNA", at positions 43 to 507 of the family's 1533-position model. The record is from RNAcentral.